GACAGGGGGUGCAAACGUUGUUCGGAAUUACUGGGCGUAAAGAGUGUGUAGGCGGUGUUCCCAGUCUGUUGUGAAAUCUCCCGGCUUAACUGGGAGGGUGCAGCGGAAACUAGAAUGCUAGAGGGUGGGAGAGGUAAGCGGAAUUCCUGGUGUAGCGGUGAAAUGCGUAGAUAUCAGGAGGAACACCUGUGGUGUAGACAGCUUACUGGACCACUUCUGACGCUGAGACACGAAAGCGUGGGUAGCAAACAGG
Molecule: ribosomal RNA, 253 nt
Filed under: uncultured bacterium
Lineage: Bacteria
Description: partial 16S ribosomal RNA
Rfam family: Bacterial small subunit ribosomal RNA
Source: RNAcentral